UUCAUCCUGCAAUGUUCGUUGCCCCUUCAUGUUUUAAACCUUACUAUUUAUUAGGGAUUCCUAUAUGAUUAACCAAUGUCACGCCUACCUUAGUAGGAUUGCAGCAGGUUAAUAUGCGGAAACCCACCUGUUGAAAACAGGUUAUCAAAACAUAUGGGGAAACGGCAUAGGUGGGAAUGAU
Molecule: non-coding RNA, 181 nt
Filed under: Metabacillus litoralis
Lineage: Bacteria; Bacillati; Bacillota; Bacilli; Caryophanales; Bacillaceae
Also listed under: 2 other names
Description: 6S RNA
Rfam family: 6S / SsrS RNA
About the family: E. coli 6S RNA was the first non coding RNA to be sequenced, but its function was unknown until recently. It consists of 184 nucleotides that fold into an extended hairpin structure with a large single-stranded internal bulge.
Source: RNAcentral